Molecule: long non-coding RNA, 1061 nt
Organism: Nerophis lumbriciformis (worm pipefish)
Lineage: Eukaryota; Metazoa; Chordata; Actinopteri; Syngnathiformes; Syngnathidae
Source: RefSeq, a predicted model, not a curated record
GACAUUACUACAAAAGCAGGAUGAGGAGAUAAACAGACCACAAAUAAACAGGAGACGGGUGUACACUGCCUUCCGCCUGAGUGCAGAUGGGAUUGGCACCAGCACCCACCGCAACCCCGAAAGAGACAACCGGUAGAAAAUGAAUCUCUCUGCAAUUCCAGACAUCUAUCUUUCCUAAGGUGUGCGUAGUGACGAACAACAGCGGCAGUGUGUCAUGGCAGCCGCAAGAUGGUGUCGUUGUACCACUUUCCGAACUUCCAUGUCCCAGUGAAACAGGGCUGCGUCAGAUGUACGUUCGUAAACCUCACUCCCUGCCAAUUUCAGAGAGUAUGCCAGCCGCUGGGGUAGAAGCUCAGGCUUUUGUCUUAGCGGCUAGCACACAUACCUCUCAAUCAGGCGACGUGGGUUCAGGCCGCGCUCGGAGCGUUGGAAAUACGGGAAGAUCAGAUACACAACACAGAGACCACUACAAUGGUGCUGUGACCCGGAUGAGAGUGAGUGAGGUUGAGGUGGGUGAGUGUUACGCAGUGGCUGUGCCAGGUGCAUGUUAGUCAACCUCACGCCGGGUUUGCAGCUCGGGCUAUUAGCCUGGCGGCUAGCACACUAACCUCUCAAUCAAGCUAUGUGGAUUCGCUCCCCGAUCGGAGCGGCGGCAGUAUGGGAAGAUUGAUAUACAUCGCAGGGCCAUACUAGGUUAUGGUCCUUUUACCUUUUCAGCAAUUACUGUUUCUUGUUUCCAUUUUUAGAAUUGUUAUGCUGUCUAGAUUUUGCUAGCCACAUGUUCCAAACCGUUAUAUAUGUCUUACAUAACCGUAGGCCAUCCUGUCCAGCUACUCGCUUUGUAUGUGUAUCUUUUGUUUGUACUUUGUUCUUGUUUUUUACGAAUGCUUAGUGCAAAAGUUGUUUUUGAUUCAAGUUUUCUUUUACAAUUUUGCAUUUUUCUGUGAGGACUUUAUCAAAAGACUUGAAGCUUUUGUUUAAAGUAGUGCUGCAUGAAUAAUCAAUCUUAGUCAUAGUCAUUUUAAUAAUUCAUUAUCAUGAAAAUAAAAUAAAAUUGUUGA